ACAAUUCCUAGGAGAAAAAAUCCAAUAUAUGAUAUUAUUAUUAGCAUUAUUUUCAGGGGAUGUAAAGUUUAAAACAUGAAGAAAUAAUUCCUACUAUUAAAAACACAAGUAUUUACUUAUAAAAUUAUAUUUUAUCUCUGGUGACAUACAUGUACAGCAGGCCGAACUGAUUUGAACAACUAUGAAAGAAGGCCACUGUCAUGUACAAUUUAAUGAAAAUCUGCUUCUUAUUUCUGGAUAGACAAGGGGAAAUCAGAAACGAUUACCACGAGCAACUUGACAUUUAAAAAGGGAACAUGUACAUAUUUAAUUAAUUGUGAGACUGCAACACUUAUGGCUUUAAUCAGUGUUGGAAUACAGGAACAAUUAUCAGGAGAAGAAUUGCGAUACAUGGAUACAACUGUUGACUGAGGUCCCACGUGAGCUAGCCUUAUUGAACAACAGCACCGUAUAGCGGUAGCCAACGCUCGGCUGUGGGUGCAGUUUUGAAUAAAUACAAGCUUGUCAGAAGUGACCUUAACCUUUGAUCUAGUGACCCAAAAAUGAGUGUUGCGUUUAGAACUCAUCAAGGUGCAUCUACAUAUGAAGUUUCAAAGUUCGAUGUGGAAGCACUUUGAUUUUAGAACCUAUGUUAAGGUUUUAGCACGACGCAGACAGCGGACAGCUAUGACGAUACCCCGUUUUUUCUCCAAAAACAGCCAAGCUAAAAAUGAACCCAUAUAUGUCCAAUAUAGGCUGUAUAUGGAGAUGUAUACGGACAAUUCCAUAAGGGAAUAACCAGAAACCACCCAUAUGAUCCAAUUAUUAAAGCUCUAACUGUUAAGAAAAAUCUAUUUAAAUGUAUUUAUAAUGUGUAAACAUACUAUGCAUGCUAUUUUUUGUGAGAACAAGGUUAUAACCAAUUUUUUUUACCUCAUAACACUUGUAUAACACACAAGAGUAUAUAAUGUAAGGCCCAUAUGUGAUCCACAUGGGCCCUAUUUGGGUCUAACAAUAUUCCUGAACAAGUGUAUGCCAUUAAAUUGGAAAGACAAAACUUGCAGCAGCACCAAAAACAAGAGGGCCAUGAUGGCCCUGUAUCGCUCCACUGUUUUUUUUAUGCUAAAAAAGCGUGCAAUGCGCAUGGGUUGAAAUGUACUCAAGCAUGUGACUUUCUCUUUCUAUCCCUCGUCCCACUGGGCGCUUAAAGUUGGAAGGGUAAGCAUUUUUAUAUAUGGAAAACGUUACUACGGUGUUAACUAAAUAGACUAAAAAGCCCGGGAAUUGUCGCACAGGUCCUUUGCUUAUAACAUAGGUACAUUUAUCUCUCCAAAAGAUAUUGUCGUUCUCUCUAUUUCACAUAUUUUUAGAUGCUGAAGAUCAAAUCUACGUAUGUUCUACAAGAUUAAUGAAAGUUCAUUCAUUCAAUCAUGAAUCUUUUAACUUGGUAGAGAACUAUAAGAUGUCACAACAUACCAAAUUUGGUAGCCCUAGGCCCAAUGGUUAUGGACAGGAAGAUUUUUAAAGUUUGCACAAAAGAGGCUUUAUAUAAGCAUAUGUUCAGUUUUGUGACCCCCGGGGCAGGGUCAAAUUUGAGGCCAGGGGAAUAAUUUGAACAAAUUUGGUAGAGGACUAUUAGAUGUCACUACAUACCAAAUUUAGUAGCCCUAGGCUCUAUAAUUAUGAACAAGAAGAUAUUUAAAGUUUGCACAAAAUAGGCCUUAUUUAAGCAUAUGUUCAUUUGUGUGACCCCCAGGGCAGGGUCAAAUUUGACCCCAGGGGCAUAAUUUGAAAAAACUUGGUAGUCAGAGAACUUUAAGAUUUUAAUACAUACCAAAUUUGGUAGAAACAGGCCCAAUGGUUAUGGACAAGAAGAUUUUUAAAGUUUGCACAAAAUAGGCCCAAUAUAAGCAUUUGUUCAAUUUUGGCUUAAUUUGAACAAACUUGGUAGAGGACUAUUAGAUGUCUCUACAUACCAAAUUUGGUAGCCCUAUGCCAUACGGUUAUGGACAAGAAGAUUUUUAAAGUUUGCACAAAAUAGGCCCAAUAUAAGCAUUUGUUCAAUUUUGUGACACCUGGGGAACGGUCAAAUUUGAUCCCUUGGGCUUACUUUGAACAAACUUGGUAGAGGACUAUUAGAUGUCACUACAUACCAAAUUUGGUAGCCCUAUGCCAUACAGUUAGGGACAAGAAGAUUUUUAAAGUUUGCACAAAAUAGGCCUUAUUUAACGAAUGUACGUUUUUGCGACCCCAGGGGCAGGGUCAAAUUUACCCUAGGGGCAUAAUUUGAACAAGCUAAGUAGAGAACUAUUAGAUGUCACUACAUACCGAAUUUGGUAGCACUAGGCCCAAUUGUUAUGGACAAGAAGAUUUUUUUAAUUUGCACAAAAUAGGCUUUAUAUAAGCAUAUGUUCAAUUUAUUGACCCCCAGGGCGUGGUCAGGGGCAUAAUUUGAACAAAUUUGAAAGAGGUUCACCCCAGGAACAUUUGUGAGAAGUUUUAUCAGAAUUGGACUUGUAGUUUAGGAGAAGAAGAUGUUUAAAGAAAAAGUUAACACAGACGCACGCACAGACUCAUGCAUGCACGACGGACACAGGACCAUGACAUAAGCCCCGCUGGCCUCUUGCCCGUGGAGCUAAAAACCAAAUUUCAAAGUUUUUAGAAUUUUACAUGCUUAUAACAAAAUGCUUGAUUCUUGAUGUUUUUGCAGUACCAUGUAUAAAUCUGCCAUAUAUACAUGAAUGCAGAUAUUGUGUGCAAAAUACAGUUGCAAACAUGUUGUUUUUUUAUAUUAUGGAAUUCUGUGCUACAUAAUUAUAAAAUGCAUUUAUGAUUGGUUAGUUUAUUUAUUUGGGAAACUUUGUUGGAAUAUGUUGCCAGGAGGAGGUAGACAUGUAAUGCACUGCAAAAAUGUUAAAGGCAUUUCUUGUACAUGUAGUUGGUUUUCAAGAUUAUCUACCACAAAAUUGACAAACUAGACAUGUACAAGAAGCAAUUUUACAAGCAAAAAACCAGAUGCAAAUAGAUAAUUAUGGCAAAAAAAUGGUCAUAAUUCCAAAUGUUAUUGUUCAACUAAUUUGGAAUUAUUGGCAUCUAUUGCUUUCUUUAUAUUGGCAGUUUGGCAGUCAAUGAUAUGGGACGCAUAAAAGACCCACUAACAGCCCAGUGUAACACACAUAGGACCCAGAUGCCGCCUUUAUGAAAAUUAUAUAAGACCUUCCUCUCCAGGAACGAGUUUUAUUGCCAGAAGACGGUUCCCCGAAUCCUCCAGGGCCACUGCUAAGAGGUGACGUGGGUUUUGUUCACAUGAAAUCACAGUGUCAUGCCAAGCUUUCAGCAUUGCAAAGAUACGUUCAUCAAACUGAAACAUAGAUUAUGUCAUACCGUC
Dreissena polymorpha is the source of this 3367-nucleotide long non-coding RNA. RefSeq lists it as uncharacterized. NCBI's taxonomy places the organism in Eukaryota, Metazoa, Mollusca, Bivalvia, Myida, Dreissenidae. The record is from RefSeq and is a predicted model, not a curated record. The transcript is spliced from 2 exons.